This 688-nucleotide unclassified non-coding RNA is filed under the name Anillochlamys subtruncatus. RNAcentral's name for it is "partial contains 16S ribosomal RNA (rrnL) and tRNA-Leu (trnL)". The stretch from base 385 to 543 matches the Rfam family "Bacterial large subunit ribosomal RNA", at positions 2473 to 2632 of the family's 2925-position model. Lineage: Eukaryota; Metazoa; Arthropoda; Insecta; Coleoptera; Leiodidae. The record is from RNAcentral.
GUCUUAUUGAUAAUAAUUUUAAGUCUAAUCUGCCCAGUGAAAUUUUAAAUGGCUGCAGUAUUCCAACUGUACAAAGGUAGCAUAAUAAUUAGUUUCUUAAUUAGGAACUGGAAUGAAAGAUUGAACGAGACAAUGACUGUCUUAAUUUUAUUUAAAGAACUUUAUUUUUAAGUUAAAAAGCUUAAAUUUUUUUAAAAGACGAGAAGACCCUAUAGAAUUUUAUUUGAUUAUAAAAUUUAGAUUUUAGUAAUUGAAUUUUGAAUUUUUAUAUGAAAAUUUAACUGGGGUGAUUGAAAAAUUUAUUUAACUUUUUUUAAUAUUUUAAUCAUAAAUUUAUGAUUUAUUGAUCCAAUAUUAUUGAUUAUAAGAUUAAAUUACCUUAGGGAUAACAGCGUAAUUUUUUUAGAGAGUUCUUAUCGAUAAAAGAGAUUGCGACCUCGAUGUUGGAUUAAAAUUAAUUUUUAAUGUAGAAGUUAAAAUAUUAGGUCUGUUCGACCUUUGAAAUUUUACAUGAUCUGAGUUUAAAUCGGCGUGAGCCAGGUUGGAUUCUAUCUUUAAUUAGGUUAAAUAUUUUAGUACGAAAGGACCAGGUAUUUAUUAUAAUAAUUUAUGUAGAAUAUUAUUAUUAUUUUGGCAGAUUAGUGCUUUAAAUUUAGAAUUUAAGAAUGUAAUAUUUUACAGAUAAUAC